GGAUCCAGACUUUGAUCAUGGCUCAGGAUGAACGCUAGCUACAGGCUUAACACAUGCAAGUCGAGGGGAAACGACAUCGAAAGCUUGCUUUUGAUGGGUGUCGACCGGCGCACGGGUGAGUAACGCGUAUCCAACCUGCCCAUCACUUGGGGAUAACCUUGCGAAAGUAAGACUAAUACCCAAUGAUAUCUCAAGAAGACAUCUGAAUGAGAUUAAAAAUUUAUCGGUGAUGGAUGGGGAUGCGUCUGAUUAGCUUGUUGGCGGGGUAACGGCCCACCAAGGCGACGAUCAGUAGGGGUUCUGAGAGGAAGGUCCCCCACAUUGGAACUGAGACACGGUCCAAACUCCUACGGGAGGCAGCAGUGAGGAAUAUUGGUCAAUGGGCGAGAGCCUGAACCAGCCAAGUAGCGUGCAGGAUGACGGCCCUAUGGGUUGUAAACUGCUUUUAUAAGGGAAUAAAGUGAGUCUCGUGAGACUUUUUGCAUGUACCUUAUGAAUAAGGACCGGCUAAUUCCGUGCCAGCAGCCGCGGUAAUACGGAAGGUCCGGGCGUUAUCCGGAUUUAUUGGGUUUAAAGGGAGCGUAGGCCGGAGAUUAAGCGUGUUGUGAAAUGUAGAUGCUCAACAUCUGCACUGCAGCGCGAACUGGUUUCCUUGAGUACGCACAAAGUGGGCGGAAUUCGUGGUGUAGCGGUGAAAUGCUUAGAUAUCACGAAGAACUCCGAUUGCGAAGGCAGCUCACUGGAGCGCAACUGACGCUGAAGCUCGAAAGUGCGGGUAUCGAACAGGAUUAGAUACCCUGGUAGUCCGCACGGUAAACGAUGGAUGCCCGCUGUUGGUCUGAAUAGGUCAGCGGCCAAGCGAAAGCAUUAAGCAUCCCACCUGGGGAGUACGCCGGCA
RNAcentral lists this ribosomal RNA (898 nucleotides) under uncultured Bacteroidota bacterium. RNAcentral describes it as "bacterial SSU rRNA". It matches the Rfam family "Bacterial small subunit ribosomal RNA", at positions 1 to 890 of the family's 1533-position model. The record is from RNAcentral. Lineage: Bacteria; Pseudomonadati; Bacteroidota.